RNAcentral lists this ribosomal RNA (750 nucleotides) under uncultured bacterium. Its description in RNAcentral is "bacterial SSU rRNA". It matches the Rfam family "Bacterial small subunit ribosomal RNA", at positions 61 to 808 of the family's 1533-position model. The record is from RNAcentral.
GUCGAGGGAGAUUGUUGGAUUCGUCUGACAUGAAACCGGCGCACGGGUGCGUAACACGUAUGCAACCUACCUUUAACUGGGGUAUAGCUCAGAGAAAUCUGAAUUAAUCCCCCAUAAGACUACGACAUGGCAUCAUGAUGUAGUUAAAGCUCCGGCGGUUAAGGAUGGGCAUGCGGUACAUUAGCUAGUUGGUGAGGUAAUGGCUCACCAAGGCUACGAUGUAUAGGGGGUCUGAGAGGAUGAUCCCCCACACUGGUACUGAGACACGGACCAGACUCCUACGGGAGGCAGCAGUAGGGAAUAUUGGUCAAUGGACGCAAGUCUGAACCAGCCAUGCCGCGUGAAGGAUGAAGGCCCUAUGGGUCGUAAACUUCUUUUAUUAGGGAAGAAAAAAUGGGAUGCGUCCCAUACUGACGGUACUUAAUGAAUAAGGAUCGGCUAACUUCGUGCCAGCAGCCGCGGUAAGACGAAGGAUCCAAGCGUUGUCCGGAUUUACUGGGUUUAAAGGGUGCGUAGGCGGAAAAUUAAGUCAGUGGUGAAAGCCCGCAGCUCAACUGUGGAACUGCCAUUGAAACUGGUUUUCUUGAAUAUAGCUGAGGCAGAUGGAAUAUAACAUGUAGCGGUGAAAUGCUUAGAUAUGUUAUAGAACACCGAUUGCGAAGGCAGUCUGCUAAACUAUUAUUGACGCUGAGGCACGAAAGCGUGGGGAGCGAACAGGAUUAGAUACCCUGGUAGUCCACGCCCUAAACG